This 226-nucleotide long non-coding RNA is filed under the name Pelobates cultripes (western spadefoot toad). Lineage: Eukaryota; Metazoa; Chordata; Amphibia; Anura; Pelobatidae. The record is from RNAcentral.
GGGGAUGAUUUCUGAUGUAAUGAAUGGGAGUGUUAGCUGUGUUGUAAUGUGUUGAUUGGUUGUGCUUCAAAACCCUGUGGGCAGUACUAUGUUUGUAGAAUGUGAAUAAAAGAGGCUGUAUGUGCCAGUACAGACAGUUCUUCUUCACCCUCAAUCUAGAGUCCUGUCUCUUAUUGGGGGAAUCGCUAUAUCACCACAAGGGAUUGCUAUGCUCUGCAUACUCCCU